CCUGUUAUAACUAUCGACCGCAUUCCAGAUCCUGCUACCACCUGGCAGCUCAGCAAAGAGAGCAGCUUCUCUCAUAGCCCAGGCAAGCCCACUAGAAGUGCAUUUCCCCAGGGCCUGGUCUAAGGGCAGGCAGCUUUCACCACAGAGAACUACUAGCACAGCAAACGACUGACGCAAACCUGCUGCUCUCUCUUCCCUUGUCUGGGCACUUACGGAAAGCCAGGUAAAAGCAUCUGUUUGUUGCAAGGCUGCUUUCUC
RNAcentral lists this long non-coding RNA (258 nucleotides) under Gopherus agassizii (Agassiz's desert tortoise). RNAcentral's name for it is "lncRNA (ENSGAGG00000023212.1)". The record is from RNAcentral. Lineage: Eukaryota; Metazoa; Chordata; Testudines; Testudinidae.